AUUAGCUUGGCAGAGUAGUGCAUCGACGUUAGAAUUCGAAUAUGCUUAAGGCAGCUGGUG
This 60-nucleotide transfer RNA is filed under the name Appalachioria falcifera. RNAcentral describes it as "tRNA-Leu". Lineage: Eukaryota; Metazoa; Arthropoda; Diplopoda; Polydesmida; Xystodesmidae. The record is from RNAcentral.